RNAcentral lists this ribosomal RNA (449 nucleotides) under uncultured bacterium. Its description in RNAcentral is "partial 16S ribosomal RNA". It matches the Rfam family "Bacterial small subunit ribosomal RNA", at positions 29 to 523 of the family's 1533-position model. The record is from RNAcentral.
AACGAACGCUGGCGGCAGGCUUAACACAUGCAAGUCGAACGGAUCCUUCGGGAUUAGUGGCGCACGGGUGAGUAACGCGUGGGAAUGUACCCCUUGGUAAGGAAUAAUAUCUGGAAACGGAUACUAAUACCUUAUAAUGACUUUGGUCCAAAGAUUUAUCGCCAAGGGAUCAGCCCGCGUCUGAUUAGGUAGUUGGUGAGGUAACGGCUCACCAAGCCGACGAUCAGUAGCUGGUCUGAGAGGAUGAUCAGCCACACUGGGACUGAGACACGGCCCAGACUCCUACGGGAGGCAGCAGUGAGGAAUAUUGGACAAUGGGGGAAACCCUGAUCCAGCCAUGCCGCGUGAGUGAAGAAGGCCUUAGGGUUGUAAAGCUCUUUCAAUGGUGAAGAUAAUGACGGUAGCCAUAGAAGAAGCCCCGGCUAAAUUCGUGCCAGCAGCCGCAGUAA